RNAcentral lists this long non-coding RNA (268 nucleotides) under Salmo salar (Atlantic salmon). RNAcentral's name for it is "lncRNA (ENSSSAG00000087697.1)". The record is from RNAcentral. Lineage: Eukaryota; Metazoa; Chordata; Actinopteri; Salmoniformes; Salmonidae.
GUGGUCUAGAGCUAACUCAGGGGCAUUGUGGGUAAAUACUGGGUAAAUACUGUCUCUUAGUGGUGGAGAUAGAUGGACUAUAGCUAACUCAGGGGCAUUGUGGGGGCAUUGUGGGUAAAUACUGGUUAAAUACUGUCUCUUAGUGGUGGAGAUAGAUGGUCUAGAGCUAACUCAGGGGCAUUGUGGGUAAAUACUGGGUAAAUACUGUCUCUUAGUGGUGGAGAUAGAUGGACUAUAGCUAACUCAGGGGCAUUGUGGGUAAAUACUG